AUGUCAAACAGCUCUGCAGAUUGGGAAGGGGAGCAGAUCAGUGCCCGGUGCCACUACACUUCUGCUUCCGUUGACAAUGUCAUAUUCAAUCUCAACGACGAUGUCUUCAUCAAGAGGACGAAUGAAGCAACAAAGAUUAUGUUGGUCCAUAGAGCCCUACUACAUUCCUUUCCUGGAAAAGAAGAGCUCCUAAUAUUUUGUAUGCUCCAUGCCGUGAGUUGCCACCUCUUGCCACAUGUUCGUGCUAAUUAUCAACCAUUUGAUCAAGUCAAAGGCAACAGAAAGGCACAAAGGCGAUCAAGGUCCUUAUGUACACCGAGUACUAUCUUUUGUCUACUAAUAAUUGCAAGUUAG
Molecule: ribosomal RNA, 354 nt
Filed under: Triticum aestivum (bread wheat)
Lineage: Eukaryota; Viridiplantae; Streptophyta; Magnoliopsida; Poales; Poaceae
Description: partial small subunit ribosomal RNA
Source: RNAcentral